Molecule: ribosomal RNA, 485 nt
Filed under: uncultured bacterium
Lineage: Bacteria
Description: partial 16S ribosomal RNA
Rfam family: Bacterial small subunit ribosomal RNA
Source: RNAcentral
GACGAACGCUGGCGGCGUGCUUAACACAUGCAAGUCGAACGGGGCUCAUCGCUUCGGUGGUGGGUCUAGUGGCGAACGGGUGAGUAACACGUGGGCAACCUGCCCCCGGCUCUGGGAUAACUCCAAGAAAUUGGGGCUAAUACCGGAUGUGACCGCUGGCCGCAUGGUCUGGUGGUGGAAAGGGUUUCCGGCUGGGGAUGGGCCCGCGGCCUAUCAGCUUGUUGGUGGGGGAGUGGCCUACCAAGGGGACGACGGGUAGGCGGCCUGAGAGGGCGAACGGCCACACUGGGACGGAGACACGGCCCAGACUCCUACGGGAGGCGGCAGUGGGGAAUAUGGCGCAAUGGGCGGACGCGUGACGCAGCGACGCCGCGGGGGGGAUGACGGCUUUCGGGUUGUAAACCUCUUUCAGCAGGGACGAAGCCGCGAGGUGACGGUACCUGCAGAAGAAGCACCGGCCAACUACGUGCCAGCCGCCGCGGUAA